Molecule: ribosomal RNA, 563 nt
Filed under: uncultured bacterium
Lineage: Bacteria
Description: bacterial SSU rRNA
Rfam family: Bacterial small subunit ribosomal RNA
Source: RNAcentral
CCUACGGGAGGCAGCAGUGGGGAAUCUUGCGCAAUGGGCGAAAGCCUGACGCAGCAACGCCGCGUGCGGGAAGAAGGCUUUCGGGCUGUAAACCGCUUUCAGCAGGAACGAAAAUGACGGUACCUGCAGAAGAAGGAGCGGCCAACUAUGUGCCAGCAGCCGCGGUGAUACAUAGGCUUCAAGCGUUGUCCGGAUUUAUUGGGCGUAAAGAGUUCGUAGGCGGUCGAGUAAGUCGGGUGUGAAAAUUCUGGGCUCAACCCAGAGACGCCACCCGAUACUGCUUAACUUGAGUUCGAUAGGGGAGUGGGGAAUUCCUAGUGUAGCGGUGAAAUGCGCAGAUAUUAGGAGGAACGCCGGUGGCGAAGGCGCCACUCUGGAUCGAUACUGACGCUGAGGAACGAAAGCAUGGGUAGCAAACAGGAUUAGAUACCCUGGUAGUCCAUGCCGUAAACGGUGGGCACUAGGUGUGGGAUUCUAUUAACGAAUUCCGCGCCGUCGCUAACGCAUUAAGUGCCCCGCCUGGGGAGUACGGUCGCAAAGCUAAAACUCAAAGGAAUUGACGG